RNAcentral lists this ribosomal RNA (274 nucleotides) under uncultured bacterium. Its description in RNAcentral is "partial 16S ribosomal RNA". It matches the Rfam family "Archaeal small subunit ribosomal RNA", at positions 473 to 747 of the family's 1478-position model. The record is from RNAcentral.
CUACCCGCUCCGCGAGUGGUGAGGACUAUUACUGGGCUUAAAGCGCCCGUAGCCGGCCGGGUGUGUCCUCCGUUAAAUCCACAGGCCUAACCUGUGGGCUGCGGGGGAUACUACCCGGCUUGGGGGUGGGAGAGGGCGGCGGUAUUCCCGGGGUAGGGGUAAAAUCCACUGAGCCCGGGAGGACCACCAGUGGCGAAGGCGGCCGCCCAGAACACGCCCGACGGUGAGGGGCGAAAGCUGGGGGAGCAAACGGGAUUAGAAACCCUAGUAGUCC